AAGCGUUCUCAGGGCGGGGUGGAAUUCCCCACCGGCGGUGAUGGCGACCUGUUCGCACGAGCCCGCGAGCGCCCGCGGCGCGCCACGCGCCGCGGGGUCAGCAGACCUGGUGAGAUCCCGGGGCCGACGGUUCAGGACUUGUGUUGCCGUCAUUUGCGGCAAGACAAGACCUCAUAGUCCGGAUGAAAGAGAGCGCGG
Molecule: non-coding RNA, 198 nt
Filed under: Variovorax sp.
Lineage: Bacteria; Pseudomonadati; Pseudomonadota; Betaproteobacteria; Burkholderiales; Comamonadaceae
Description: FMN sequence
Rfam family: FMN riboswitch aptamer (RFN element)
About the family: The RFN element is a highly conserved domain that is found frequently in the 5'-untranslated regions of prokaryotic mRNAs that encode for flavin mononucleotide (FMN) biosynthesis and transport proteins.
Source: RNAcentral